UACAGAGGGUGCGAGCGUUGUUCGGAAUUAUUGGGCGUAAAGGGCGCGUAGGCGGUGCGGUAAGUCACCUGUGAAAUCUCCUGGCUCAACUGGGAGCUUGCAGGCGAAACUGCCGUGCUGGAGUGUGGGAGAGGUGCGUGGAAUUCCUGGUGUAGCGGUGAAGUGCGUAGAUAUCAGGAGGAACACCUGUGGCGAAAGCGGCGCACUGGACCACAACUGACGCUGAGGCGCGAAAGCUAGGGGAGCAAACAGG
RNAcentral lists this ribosomal RNA (253 nucleotides) under uncultured bacterium. Its description in RNAcentral is "partial 16S ribosomal RNA". It matches the Rfam family "Bacterial small subunit ribosomal RNA", at positions 524 to 776 of the family's 1533-position model. The record is from RNAcentral.